RNAcentral lists this microRNA (22 nucleotides) under Oikopleura dioica. RNAcentral's name for it is "odi-miR-1487". The record is from miRBase by way of RNAcentral. Lineage: Eukaryota; Metazoa; Chordata; Appendicularia; Copelata; Oikopleuridae.
UGGCAGUGGGGACAAGUUUAGG